CCGUCAAUUCCUUUAAGUUUCACUCUUGCGAGCGUACUCCCCAGGUGGCUAACUUAUCACUUUCGCUUGGUCUCUGAAGCUUGCGCCCCAAAAACGAGUUAGCAUCGUUUACGGCGUGGACUACCAGGGUAUCUAAUCCUGUUCGCUCCCCACGCUUUCGUCCCUCAGCGUCAGUUAUAACUUGGUAACCUGCCUUCGCAAUUGAUGUUCUAAGUAAUAUCUAUGCAUUUCACCGCUACACUACUUAUUCCAGCUACCUCAAUUAUACUCAAGACUUACAGUAUCAAUGGCAGUUCUAUCGUUAAGCGACAGGCUUUCACCACUGACUUAUAAGUCCGCCUACGGACCCUUUAAACCCAAUAAAUCCGGAUAACGCUUGCACCCUCCGUAUUACCGCGGC
RNAcentral lists this unclassified non-coding RNA (400 nucleotides) under uncultured Weeksellaceae bacterium. RNAcentral describes it as "contains 16S-23S intergenic spacer region". The record is from RNAcentral. Lineage: Bacteria; Pseudomonadati; Bacteroidota; Flavobacteriia; Flavobacteriales; Weeksellaceae.